CGUUUCUCUUGAAUAAAAGAAGACUGGCAUAUUUUUCUCCUUUUUGCUGCAAGGAAGGCCUAACGAUAACACCGGAUUUGAAGCACGGUUCUCGGCGCUGAGCACACUGACGGGACCAAGAGGUACAGGAAGAAAGAAAAACACCACCUCUUGUUCAAGAAGGAGAUAAUCCCAGCUGUCGCACAGCCGCUCAGGAGAGCUGAGUCCUGUUUGAUCCAGUGGCUAAUUCCAGCUGAACAGAGCACAUCUUGUCUCUGCUGGCAUUUCAGUUUGAAGGACCUUACCACCCAAAAGCUGAUAUCUCCGUUUUUCCUUUUCCCUGCCCUGGUGGCUGGCAGUGCAGCUGCCUGCCUCUGGAGCACAAUGCAGCUGCCCCUGCACUGAACACUGGCAGCUUAAAGCAGAGUUAUGGGCAGCAGCGUUAAAGAACACGCUCUUACUCAACAGAGCAGUUCCAUGCAUACCCUGGAAUUAGAGCUGCUUAAUUUUCUGACCAAAAGCUUGUUUUUACUAUUGUUAGCACUGUAGCCAAGGAGCUCUGGGAGGGCAGGCUGGCUUCUAUUCUGUUUUGUGCAUCAUCAACCAAAUUGUCUGCUAAUUUCCUAUUGUGGAAUCUUUAUUACCAGCAGUGACCUAUGAGGCAGAAUGAAUAUUUUUGAAUUUCAAAUCUCGUGUGGAAGCUGCAGGUUGCCACCUAGAAAAAAAAAAUCUGACCUGUAAAUUUAGUAAAUAUGAUAGAAAAGUAAUUGGAAAUGAAAAAUAAGGAUCUUCAUUUUGUCUCUG
Molecule: long non-coding RNA, 783 nt
Filed under: Parus major (Great Tit)
Lineage: Eukaryota; Metazoa; Chordata; Aves; Passeriformes; Paridae
Description: lncRNA (ENSPMJG00000007234.1)
Source: RNAcentral